This 1194-nucleotide ribosomal RNA is filed under the name Serratia nematodiphila. RNAcentral's name for it is "bacterial SSU rRNA". It matches the Rfam family "Bacterial small subunit ribosomal RNA", at positions 35 to 1229 of the family's 1533-position model. Lineage: Bacteria; Pseudomonadati; Pseudomonadota; Gammaproteobacteria; Enterobacterales; Yersiniaceae. The record is from RNAcentral.
GCUUUUGCGGGCAGGCUUACACAUGCAGUCGAGCGGUAGCACAGGGGAGCUUGCUCCCUGGGUGACGAGCGGCGGACGGGUGAGUAAUGUCUGGGAAACUGCCUGAUGGAGGGGGAUAACUACUGGAAACGGUAGCUAAUACCGCAUAACGUCGCAAGACCAAAGAGGGGGACCUUCGGGCCUCUUGCCAUCAGAUGUGCCCAGAUGGGAUUAGCUAGUAGGUGGGGUAAUGGCUCACCUAGGCGACGAUCCCUAGCUGGUCUGAGAGGAUGACCAGCCACACUGGAACUGAGACACGGUCCAGACUCCUACGGGAGGCAGCAGUGGGGAAUAUUGCACAAUGGGCGCAAGCCUGAUGCAGCCAUGCCGCGUGUGUGAAGAAGGCCUUCGGGUUGUAAAGCACUUUCAGCGAGGAGGAAGGUGGUGAGCUUAAUACGCUCAUCAAUUGACGUUACUCGCAGAAGAAGCACCGGCUAACUCCGUGCCAGCAGCCGCGGUAAUACGGAGGGUGCAAGCGUUAAUCGGAAUUACUGGGCGUAAAGCGCACGCAGGCGGUUUGUUAAGUCAGAUGUGAAAUCCCCGGGCUCAACCUGGGAACUGCAUUUGAAACUGGCAAGCUAGAGUCUCGUAGAGGGGGGUAGAAUUCCAGGUGUAGCGGUGAAAUGCGUAGAGAUCUGGAGGAAUACCGGUGGCGAAGGCGGCCCCCUGGACGAAGACUGACGCUCAGGUGCGAAAGCGUGGGGAGCAAACAGGAUUAGAUACCCUGGUAGUCCACGCUGUAAACGAUGUCGAUUUGGAGGUUGUGCCCUUGAGGCGUGGCUUCCGGAGCUAACGCGUUAAAUCGACCGCCUGGGGAGUACGGCCGCAAGGGUUAAAACUCAAAUGAAUUGACGGGGGCCCGCACAAGCGGUGGAGCAUGUGGUUUAAUUCGAUGCAACGCGAAGAACCUUACCUACUCUUGACAUCCAGAGAACUUUCCAGAGAUGGAUUGGUGCCUUCGGGAACUCUGAGACAGGUGCUGCAUGGCUGUCGUCAGCUCGUGUUGUGAAAUGUUGGGUUAAGUCCCGCAACGAGCGCAACCUAUCUUUGUGCAGCGGAUCGGCCGGAACUCAAGGAACUGCAGUCGAUAACUGGGAGGAAGUUGGGAUGACGUCAGUCAUCAUGCCUUACGAGUAGGCUUACACCACGAUGUCA